RNAcentral lists this ribosomal RNA (665 nucleotides) under Salmonella enterica. RNAcentral describes it as "partial 23S ribosomal RNA". It matches the Rfam family "Bacterial large subunit ribosomal RNA", at positions 2138 to 2802 of the family's 2925-position model. The record is from RNAcentral. Lineage: Bacteria; Pseudomonadati; Pseudomonadota; Gammaproteobacteria; Enterobacterales; Enterobacteriaceae.
GUAGGAUAGGUGGGAGGCUUUGAAGCGUGGACGCCAGUCUGCGUGGAGCCGACCUUGAAAUACCACCCUUUAAUGUUUGAUGUUCUAACGUGGACCCGUGAUCCGGGUUGCGGACAGUGUCUGGUGGGUAGUUUGACUGGGGCGGUCUCCUCCUAAAGAGUAACGGAGGAGCACGAAGGUUGGCUAAUCCUGGUCGGACAUCAGGAGGUUAGUGCAAUGGCAUAAGCCAGCUUGACUGCGAGCGUGACGGCGCGAGCAGGUGCGAAAGCAGGUCAUAGUGAUCCGGUGGUUCUGAAUGGAAGGGCCAUCGCUCAACGGAUAAAAGGUACUCCGGGGAUAACAGGCUGAUACCGCCCAAGAGUUCAUAUCGACGGCGGUGUUUGGCACCUCGAUGUCGGCUCAUCACAUCCUGGGGCUGAAGUAGGUCCCAAGGGUAUGGCUGUUCGCCAUUUAAAGUGGUACGCGAGCUGGGUUUAGAACGUCGUGAGACAGUUCGGUCCCUAUCUGCCGUGGGCGCUGGAGAACUGAGGGGGGCUGCUCCUAGUACGAGAGGACCGGAGUGGACGCAUCACUGGUGUUCGGGUUGUCAUGCCAAUGGCACUGCCCGGUAGCUAAAUGCGGAAGAGAUAAGUGCUGAAAGCAUCUAAGCACGAAACUUGCCCCGA